UUAAAUUGAAGAGUUUGAUCAUGGCUCAGAUUGAACGCUGGCGGCAGGCCUAACACAUGCAAGUCGAACGGUAACAGGAAACAGCUUGCUGUUUCGCUGACGAGUGGCGGACGGGUGAGUAAUGUCUGGGAAACUGCCYGAUGGAGGGGGAUAACUACUGGAAACGGUAGCUAAUACCGCAUAACGUCGCAAGACCAAAGAGGGGGACCUUMGGGCCUCUUGCCAUCGGAUGUGCCCAGAUGGGAUUAGCUAGUAGGUGGGGUAAWGGCUCACCUAGGCGACGAUCCCUAGCUGGUCUGAGAGGAUGACCAGCCACACUGGAACUGAGACACGGUCCAGACUCCUACGGGAGGCAGCAGUGGGGAAUAUUGCACAAUGGGCGCAAGCCUUGGAACUGAGACACGGUCCAGACUCCUACGGGAGGCAGCAGUGGGGAAUAUUGCACAAUGGGCGCAAGCCU
Molecule: ribosomal RNA, 460 nt
Filed under: Escherichia coli
Lineage: Bacteria; Pseudomonadati; Pseudomonadota; Gammaproteobacteria; Enterobacterales; Enterobacteriaceae
Description: bacterial SSU rRNA
Rfam family: Bacterial small subunit ribosomal RNA
Source: RNAcentral